GGAUUCCUAGAGUGUAGGCUUUGCCUGCUAUCUCUUACCCAUGUCUUUUGAGUACCUUACGUUUCCUCGGCGGGUCCGCCCGCCGAUUGGACAAUUUAAACCAUUUGCAGUUGCAAUCAGCGUCUGAAAAAACUUAAUAGUUACAACUUUCAACAACGGAUCUCUUGGUUCUGGCAUCGAUGAAGAACGCAGCGAAAUGCGAUAAGUAGUGUGAAUUGCAGAAUUCAGUGAAUCAUCGAAUCUUUGAACGCACAUUGCGCCCCUUGGUAUUCCAUGGGGCAUGCCUGUUCGAGCGUCAUUUGUACCUUCAAGCUCUGCUUGGUGUUGGGUGUUUGUCUCGCCUCUGCGUGUAGACUCGCCUCAAAACAAUUGGCAGCCGGCGUAUUGAUUUCGGAGCGCAGUACAUCUCGCGCUUUGCACUCAUAACGACGACGUCCAAAAGUACAUUUUUACACUCUUGACCUCGGAUCAGGUAGGGAUACCCGCUGAACUUAAGCAUAUCAAUAAGCGGAGGAA
Molecule: ribosomal RNA, 516 nt
Filed under: Ascochyta medicaginicola
Lineage: Eukaryota; Fungi; Ascomycota; Dothideomycetes; Pleosporales; Didymellaceae
Description: eukaryotic LSU rRNA
Rfam family: 5.8S ribosomal RNA (bases 145-298)
Source: RNAcentral